AUUAGAUACCCGCGUAGUCCCAGCCGUAAACUAUGCGCGUUAGGUGUAUCGGUGACCACGAGUUACCGAGGUGCCGAAGGGAACCGUGAAACGUGCCGCCUGGGAAGUACGGUCGCAAGGCUGAAACUUAAAGGAAUUGGCGGGGAGCACCACAACAGGUGGAGCCUGCGGUUUAAUUGGACUCAACGCCGGGAAGCUCACCGGAUAAGACAGCGGAAUGAUUGCCGGGCUGAAGACUCUGCAUGACUAGCUG
Molecule: ribosomal RNA, 253 nt
Filed under: uncultured archaeon
Lineage: Archaea
Description: partial 16S ribosomal RNA
Rfam family: Archaeal small subunit ribosomal RNA
Source: RNAcentral